This 450-nucleotide ribosomal RNA is filed under the name uncultured Glomeromycotina. RNAcentral's name for it is "SSU rRNA". It matches the Rfam family "Eukaryotic small subunit ribosomal RNA", at positions 569 to 1025 of the family's 1831-position model. The record is from RNAcentral. Lineage: Eukaryota; Fungi; Glomeromycota.
AGCAGCCGCGGUAAUUCCAGCUCCAAUAGCGUAUAUUAAAGUUGUUGCAGUUAAAAAGCUCGUAGUUGAAUUUCGGGAUCAGUACGCUGGUCGUGCCUCUGGUAUGUACUGGUGUCACUGGUUCCUCCCUUCUGAAGAACCAUCAUGCCAUUCAUUUGGUGUGGUGGGAAAUCAGGACUGUUACUUUGAAAAAUUAGAGUGUUUAAAGCAGGCUCACGCUUGAAUACAUUAGCAUGGAAUAAUGAAAUAGGACGUUGAUCCUAUUUUGUUGGUUUCUAGGAUUGACGUAAUGAUUAAUAGGGAUAGUUGGGGGCAUUAGUAUUCAAUUGUCAGAGGUGAAAUUCUUGGAUUUAUUGAAGACUAACUACUGCGAAAGCAUUUGCCAAGGAUGUUUUCAUUAAUCAAGAACGAAAGUUAGGGGAUCGAAGACGAUCAGAUACCGUCGUAGUC